Molecule: transfer RNA, 75 nt
Filed under: Caminicella sporogenes
Lineage: Bacteria; Bacillati; Bacillota; Clostridia; Peptostreptococcales; Caminicellaceae
Also listed under: 17 other names
Description: tRNA-Glu
Rfam family: tRNA
About the family: Transfer RNA (tRNA) molecules are approximately 80 nucleotides in length.
Source: RNAcentral
GGCCCCUUGGUCAAGUGGUUAAGACACCGCCCUUUCACGGCGGUAACAGGGGUUCGAAUCCCCUAGGGGUCACCA